Molecule: small RNA, 404 nt
Filed under: Pongo abelii (Sumatran orangutan)
Lineage: Eukaryota; Metazoa; Chordata; Mammalia; Primates; Hominidae
Description: processed transcript
Source: RNAcentral
CGGCAUUAUUGGAGUGAAAACCUUUUCCAGUGCUUCAAUUGCAGCCUCUGCCUCAAUGGGACUGUGCACCUCUCCUGCCAGGAGAAACAGAACACCGUGUGCACCUGCCAUGCAGGGUUCUUUCUAAGAGAAAAUGAGUGUGUCUCCUGUAGUAACUGUAAGAAAAGCCUGGAGUGCACAAAGUUGUGCCUACCCCAGAUUGAGAAUGUUAAGGGCACUGAGGACUCAGGCACCACAGUGCUGUUGCCCCUGGUCAUCUUCUUUGGUCUUUGCCUUUUAUCUCUCCUCUUCAUUGGUUUAAUGUAUCGUUACCAACGGUGGAAGUCCAAGCUCUACUCCAUUGUUUGUGGGAAAUCGACACCUGAAAAAGAGAGAGGUGGCACCACCCUACCAGGGGGCUGACC